Molecule: long non-coding RNA, 5109 nt
Organism: Gasterosteus aculeatus aculeatus (three-spined stickleback)
Lineage: Eukaryota; Metazoa; Chordata; Actinopteri; Perciformes; Gasterosteidae
Source: Ensembl
CUUUUGUGUAAACACAGUGGUCUGUCGGGUUCUGAAUAAAGUUGUCAUCUACUAGGCAGGUGUGGAGCAUCUCAUUCCAAUUUCGCCCCUACUGCUUCAGGCCGUAGAUUGACUUCUCUAGUUUACACACCAGCUCAUCUCCCUCCUUUUUGUAACCUUCAGGUUGUUCCAUUUAGAUGUCUCGAUCAAUCGGGGCAUGUAGGUAAGCGGUUUUCACAUCCAUUUGAUGCAGAAUCAAAUCGUCUUGGGCUGCCUUCUGCAUCACUAUACGAAUACUUGUCAGAUUUGCUGUUGGUGAGAAUGUCUCGCCAUAAUCUAUCCCUGCUCUCUGGCUGUAUCCUUUCGCUACAAACCUAGCUUUGUACUGGUCGUUUCCGUCAAUGUCUCCCUUGAUCGAAUAUACCCAUUUUCCUCCCACUGUCUUCCUGCCCUCUGGUAGCUUAGUCAGGGUAAAGGUUUGCUUGUCCUCUAGGGACCUCAUCUCCUCGUCCAUUGCUUUCUUCCACUUUCCUGACUCAGUUGAUGUCAUGGCCUCUUUAAAGGUCAGAGGCACACCACAAACUGCUCGGUAGCAAUAAUCGACACUAGUGAGCGUACUGUCGUCAUCAGCAUCUUCCAGAGAAUAAUCUCUUAGAUACCCCGGGGCUUCACGCUCUCUGGUAGGGUAUCUCCCACUGUCGUGUGGUAUCUCCCUAGGAUGCUUCUCGCGGUCGUCCUCUGAUGCGGAUUGUGGACCGUCAGUCAAUACAUCGGUGUUCGGUACGCUAGGCUGUGAAGUCUCUACUCCCUUAUCGCAACCCCCUUUGGGAUCCAGUCCUAGCUCCUGAGUCUGAGUCUCAUUUUCACAGGUUGUCUUGGUGACAAACUUUACCAGCCUGUGCUUCUGUACUUUUCCUUUACCCGGGUAUAUCGUUGAUGAUGUGGGACGACGCGCCCGUGUCCACGAUCUUUUCCCUUCUCUGGGUCUGCAGCAUUUUCCCUGAGAGACUGGCAUCUUCUGUUUGUGCCCUGAAGGUGCGGUCUUCUCCUCCCGCGGCUCCCCGGUCGCCGUCUGGUUCACAACCGGGCCUACGGCCACCGCCGUCAUCUUGUACACACGCACACCGGGCGCCCCGCUCACGCUCCUUCUUUGUGCACGCUUUGUCGGUGUGCCCCCUGCUUCUGCAAAAACUGCACCAAACUUUCUCUGUGCAGUCAUCCCUUCUGUGGCCCUUUUUCCUCGGCGCCGCUUGCGCCCUCAGCACCCUUUCUCCUGCCUCUUCUAGGACUGGGAGUGCGUCUUCUGAAGCCUCAAAAUUUCUUAACUUUGCCUUGAACUCUCCCAGUGUCAUGUCAGCUGAACCAUGCGUCACCAUCAGUGUGAACGGCUUGUACUUCUCCGGUAAUCCCCUCAUGAUCAUCGCCAUCAUCAGUCCCUCGCUCGGUGCUUCACCUGCACUCCUGAGUGCUGUAAUGAUCUGCUCAGCUCUGAUGAUGUAUUUGUUUACGGUCUCGUUGUCAGCUUUCUUCAGCGCUGUCAUUGUUAUGUACAGGGAAACAAUCUGGGGCCUACCUUUUCCGGUGUAGUGUUCUUUUAACACUUUGAGACUCUCUCGGCCCUUGUCCUUUGUGUCUCUGAAUAUCAGCCCCAAGCUUGUAUUGUCAAGCAGCGGCGCCAAUGCACAGUAGGCGUCCGCAUUCAGCUUAUCAUCUUUAGCCCUGUCUUCCUCCGACAGUGGUUCAGCGGGCUCUGUCAGGAUCGUCUCCUUCAGCCCCACCCCGUGCAUGCAGCACAGCAUCCUCUCUUCCCAGAGCUCAUACUCUUCUGCCCUCCCGUCAAAAGUGGGCCACUGGCUCUUGCUUCGGUUUGCCAUGGCUGUUUGUAGUUCGGUUUAGCUCCCGUUUAUUUAGCCUAGCUUUAGCUUCCCGGUUCUCCCGAUGCUAAACUAACUCUUUUGGAUACUUAUGUAUGCUAGCGCGGUCAUGCUAGCUAUCGACACACAAGUCCGUCAAACUUUGGAAUCAUUCCCGGUUCCUGGGCCCAUAACCUGUUGAUAGGUAGGCUUACUUCUUCGGCCUACCUGCGCGGCGGAACAAUGAUAUUCAGAGAAUGAACGGACGUCCAGGCGUUUAUCUCUUUAGCCAUCCGACUCGUGGCAUUGUUUAAUGCAAGCACAACAUGCUCAACUGCCCGCUCACGGGAGAGACGGGUACACACAGGGAAGGGGAGGGAACACUGCCCUUAUAUGGAAGUGGUGCUCUUGAUAUCACGACUCAGGAAACAGUUACAUGCAUCCAUACACUCUUAACCCUUAGAUGCACGAGUGACUGGACCCUACACUCUUCCAUAAGUGGGUCAAAAAUGACCCAUAUUAGAAUCUAUGUGUUUUUAUGCCAUUUUUUGUCAUUUUGGUUAAGAAUAAUCACUAAUAUAAUAUUUAGUAUUAUAUUUAGGACCACAGAAGAAUGAUUUCAUGUCUGAACUGCAUUCAGUGAAGUCUCAUCACUGAAUGCAGUUCAGACAAACUACCUGUUUCUGGCUGUGAUCAUUGCACACAGGUACAUUGCAUUUCCCACACCUAUUGUUGACUUUGCGAUCUUUGUUACUUGGGCAGAUCUGACACCUCUUUAUCUUUGGUUAGCCCUGUCUGCUUCCUUCCUUUGGCUGGGUUGUGGCUUUUGUCACCCCACACCUUUCCAUUGCUUCAAGAAUUGGGUUUGCAGUUGGGGGCAGCCUUCCAGGAGACUCCUCAUGUGUGGUGUGACAAGCUCCUUUGAGAGCUCUUUGAGGAAGAGCCGUCGUGCAUUGAAUUCUGGGUGCUGAGCCGUGAAAAAGGUGUAGGCAUUCAGGGUGGCAAUGUCAAUUAUGUUGUACCACAGCACCAUGGGCCACCUCUGUGUUUGGCACUUGCAGGUGUAGGUGCCAACCAUCUGGUCAGUGGUGUCUACACCUCCUUUCGUCUUGUUGUAAUAUGUGAUCACUUCUGUUUUUUUCUUUCUGCUAUUUUCAUCCUCUUUGUCGUGGUGCAUCGUGCUUAGGAGCACAACCGCUUUUCCUUUCUUUCUGACAAAGCUGACCAUGGUAAGGCUGUCGUUGAAUCCAAACUCUUUGCUGUGAACCUCCCUGGACUUGGAAGGCUUCAUCAGAGGAGGGAUGUCUGGCUUGUUCUGACGUAGAGUCCCCACAAUAGUGGGAUCCUUCUCCAGGAGAUGCUGCGCAAGAGGCACACUGGUGAAAAAGUUAUCCAUGGUGAUGUUGCGACCUGUGUUUCUAAAUCUACUACACAACUGCUGGACAAUGUUUUCCCCCAGAUUCUUCUGAACUUCUUCCCCUGGUUGUCUCCCCGUGUAAACUAUACCAUCUAUUGCAUAGGGGAUGCGUGCAUCACAAACCCAGAAGAUCUUUAGGCCGUAUUUGGCGGGCUUGCUUGGCAUGUACUAUAGAAACUUGCACCUACCCCUGAAUGGCACAAGCUGUUCGAAAACAAUCUUCCUGAGGGUUGACACUUCUGAUAUAGUCUGUGUGGUCCACAGUCAAAUGUAUUCCUGACAGCCACAGUUGAUAAGAAUCAAAGGUUCCCAUUGGAUUCCAUAGAAAAUGCAUGCGGGUCAUUUUUGACCCAAUUAUGGAAGCUUGGGGUAGUAAUACAAAAACUACAAUUUCUUAAAAUGUAUAACGGGUAAGUUAAAAAUGUAAAUGGAAUUAUAUCAAAAACAUGUUUUUUGAGGAAUACCUGGAAUAUGAAAUGAUAACAAUUUUUCAUUACGAAGAUAUUUCAAGAAAACAACCUCAUCGGGUCAUUUUUGACCCACUUGUGCAUCUAAGGGUUAACAGUUAUUAAUAAAUGCUCUGCUCAGACUCAUGGGAGACGUGCUUGUUUCCUGCCGUUGGCAGCAUUUUGGAUAAGUUGCAGUCUAGGAUGUUUCCCUUACUGAUUACUACAGAGCAUUGCAGUAGGCUAGUCUUGUAGAGAUAAAAGCAUCAACAACCUUGUCUACAUGUCAGCCUUUUUUACUUUUUUCAUUAUUUUUCCUCAGGGUCUGUAAGCAUCAUAAAAGUUUCCUAAAGUCUGUACGUAAUGGCUCAAUAUUCACCAAGUCUCACAUCCCUCUGACAAAAUGGCUUGAGUUCAUGCACAGAUUUGCCCAAGGUUUGCAAUUGAAGCAACUUGCCAUGAUCAGUGACAGGAUAGCAGCAAGCUCCAGGACAUUGACAAGAAUGGCAAAAGUGUGCAUUGCUGCUGUGAAGCGACUGAGGAAAAGAUGUAUGAGGUUUGGUGGUCGUCAUCGAUUCGUUGUUAUUGACGAGAGCAAAUUUGCCCACAAACGAAAGUACCAUCGUGGUCGAUGUGGCAACACUUGGCGCCGUGAACGGCGGUGGGUCUUUGGGAUGUUGGAGGUUGAUAGGAAGUCCAGAAGACCCAUUCUGAGACUCGUCAGGGAUCGCAGAAGGAAGACACUUAUAGGUCAUAUUACACGCCAUGUCAGACCCAGAACAUCCAUCCUCAGUGAUGAAUGGCGUGCCUACAAAGGGCAACUUGCCCAGUAUGGGUAUGAUCAUUAUUCGGUCUGCCAUAAAAACAACUUUGUGGACCGAGAGACUGGUACUCAUACUCAUAUAUACGCAUAUUGAGCGUGCAUGGCAAAGCUACAAGCUGGAAGUAUGGCGUCACAGAGGGAAUCGUACUCCUGAAUCACUCAAGCUUCAUCUUAAGAUGAUAGAGUGGCACCACUGGUUGGGUGUACACCAUUAAAAUGGUGUGUUGGGAAGACUUAUGCAUCUAUGUUGUGGCGUUAAACUCAUUAUAUGUUCUCCUGAGCAGAUCCUUGCUUGUGUUUUACAAACUGUCACUGGAUGAACAUCACAACAAAAUGUUUUGUUUUGAAAUACAUAAAGGAAAAACUAUCUCUUGACUUGUCUGUUGCUUUUGUUAAGGUAUUAUUAUCAUCUGACAGUGUAAUAACACUUAAUAAUAUUUUAAUGAAACAUUCAAAUCGUUCCACUUUACUUGAAUUCAAAGAAAACAGUCAUGACACUUAUAAACUGCUUUGACUAUGUAAUUGCACAUGAUAUCUUUAAAAUAUCUACACAAUUGUAAUGGUUUUAUGACAGCGAAUGUCAAAACCAUC